This 389-nucleotide ribosomal RNA is filed under the name Dinophyceae sp. RNAcentral describes it as "partial small subunit ribosomal RNA". It matches the Rfam family "Eukaryotic small subunit ribosomal RNA", at positions 582 to 975 of the family's 1831-position model. The record is from RNAcentral. Lineage: Eukaryota; Dinophyceae.
AUUCCAGCUCCAAUAGCGUAUAUUAAAGUUGUUGCGGUUAAAAAGCUCGUAGUUGGAUUUCUGCUGAGGACGACUGGUCCGCCCCCUGGGUGAGCAUCUGGUUCGGCCUGGGCAUCUUCUUGGGGAACGUAUCUGCACUUGAUUGUGUGGUGCGGUAUCCAGGACUUUUACUUUGAGGAAAUUAGAGUGUUUCAAGCAGGCCCGCGCCUUGAAUACAUUAGCAUGGAAUAAUAAGAUAGGACCUCGGUUCUAUUUUGUUGGUUUCUAGAGCUGAGGUAAUGAUUAAUAGGGAUAGUUGGGGGCAUUCAUAUUCCAUUGUCAGAGGUGAAAUUCUUGGAUUAACGGAAGAUGAACUUCUGCGAAAGCAUUUGCCAAGGAUGUUUUCAUUA